GCCUGAUUGGCUCAGCGGUUAAGUGCCUGCCUUCAGCUCAGGGUGUGAUCCUGGAGUCCUGGGAUCGAGUCCCACAUCAGGCU
Molecule: transfer RNA, 83 nt
Filed under: Canis lupus familiaris (dog)
Lineage: Eukaryota; Metazoa; Chordata; Mammalia; Carnivora; Canidae
Also listed under: 1 other name
Rfam family: tRNA
About the family: Transfer RNA (tRNA) molecules are approximately 80 nucleotides in length.
Source: Rfam by way of RNAcentral